This 107-nucleotide small nucleolar RNA is filed under the name Theobroma cacao (cacao). RNAcentral describes it as "Plant small nucleolar RNA R71". It matches the Rfam family "Plant small nucleolar RNA R71". Rfam says of the family: R71 is a member of the C/D box family of snoRNAs containing the C (UGAUGA) and D (CUGA) box motifs. Multiple nearly identical copies of this snoRNA have been identified in Arabidopsis, and it is thought to function as a 2'-O-ribose methylation guide for 18S ribosomal RNA. The record is from Rfam by way of RNAcentral. Lineage: Eukaryota; Viridiplantae; Streptophyta; Magnoliopsida; Malvales; Malvaceae.
AGGCCAUGUUGUGGGCAAUGCCUAAGCAAGUUUUUGUAUCUAUCCUAAGCUUCAUAUUGUGAAUCACCAUUGAACUAUAUGAAGGAGGUGAUAUCAUUCCUCAUUUU